GAUGAACGCUGGCGGCGUGCCUAAUACAUGCAAGUCGAGCGAACAGAUGAGGAGCUUGCUCCUCUGACGUUAGCGGCGGACGGGUGAGUAACACGUGGAUAACCUACCUAUAAGACUGGGAUAACUUCGGGAAACCGGAGCUAAUACCGGAUAAUAUAUUGAACCGCAUGGUUCAAUAGUGAAAGACGGUUUUGCUGUCACUUAUAGAUGGAUCCGCGCCGCAUUAGCUAGUUGGUAAGGUAACGGCUUACCAAGGCAACGAUGCGUAGCCGACCUGAGAGGGUGAUCGGCCAACCUGGGACUGGGGCAAGGUCCCAACUCCUACGGGAGGGCAGAGGAGGGAAUCUUCCGGAAUGGGCGGAAGGCUUACGGAGCAACGGCGGGUGAGUGAAUAAGGUCUUCCGAUUGUAAAACUCUGUUAAUUGGGAAAAACAAAAGGGGAAAUUACUAAGCAACGCUUGACGGGAACUAAACAAGAAGCCACGGCUUACUUAGUG
RNAcentral lists this ribosomal RNA (497 nucleotides) under uncultured bacterium. RNAcentral's name for it is "partial 16S ribosomal RNA". It matches the Rfam family "Bacterial small subunit ribosomal RNA", at positions 28 to 507 of the family's 1533-position model. The record is from RNAcentral.